ACUCCUACGGGAGGCAGCAGUAAGGAAUAUUGCGCAAUGGACGAAAGUCUGACGCAGCGACGCCGCGUGGGGGAUGAAGGUCUUCGGAUUGUAAACCCCUUUCGGCAGGGAAGAUGGAACGGGUAACCGUUCGGACGGUACCUGCAGAAGCAGCCACGGCUAACUUCGUGCCAGCAGCCGCGGUAAUACGAAGGUGGCAAGCGUUGUUCGGAUUCACUGGGCGUACAGGGAGCGUAGGCGGUUGGGUAAGCCCUCCGUGAAAUCUCCGGGCCUAACCCGGAAGGUGCAGAGGGGACUGCUCGGCUAGAGGAUGGGAGAGGAGCGCGGAAUUCCCG
This 335-nucleotide ribosomal RNA is filed under the name uncultured bacterium. RNAcentral describes it as "bacterial SSU rRNA". It matches the Rfam family "Bacterial small subunit ribosomal RNA", at positions 335 to 672 of the family's 1533-position model. The record is from RNAcentral.